Molecule: unclassified non-coding RNA, 256 nt
Filed under: uncultured fungus
Lineage: Eukaryota; Fungi
Description: partial contains 5.8S ribosomal RNA, internal transcribed spacer 2, and large subunit ribosomal RNA
Rfam family: 5.8S ribosomal RNA (bases 1-52)
Source: RNAcentral
AACGCACAUUGCGCUCCCUGGUAUUCCGGGGAGCAUGCCUGUUCGAGCGUCAUUACACCACUCAAGCACUGCUUGGUAUUAGGCCAUCGUCCCCCGCAAGGUGGGCGUGCCCCAAACACCUCGGCGGAGCCUCACCGGCUCUGGGCGUAGUAGAAUUUCUCAACGUCUUAUAAGUACCGGUCUGACUCUUUUGCCGCUAAACACCAAACUUUUAAAGGUUGACCUCGGAUCAGGUAGGGAUACCCGCUGAACUUAA